GACGAACGCUGGCGGCGUGCUUAACACAUGCAAGUCGAACGGUGAAGCUCCAGCUUGCUGGAGUGGAUCAGUGGCGAACGGGUGAGUAACACGUGAGCAACCUGCCCCUGACUCUGGAAUAAGCGCUGGAAACGGCGUCUAAUACUGGAUACGAGAAGGGUCCGCAUGGGCACUUUCUGGAAAGUUUUUCGGUUGGGGAUGGGCGCGCGGCCUAUCAGCUUGUUGGUGAGGUAAUGGCUCACCAAGGCGGCGACGGGUAGCCGGCCUGAGAGGGCGACCGGCCACACUGGGACUGAGACACGGCCCAGACUCCUACGGGAGGCAGCAGUGGGGAAUAUUGCACAAUGGGCGAAAGCCUGAUGCAGCGACGCCGCGUGAGGGAUGACGGCCUUCGGGUUGUAAACCUCUUUCAGCAGGGAAGAAGCGAUAGUGACGGUACCUGCAGAAGAAGCACCGGCUAACUACGUG
This 468-nucleotide ribosomal RNA is filed under the name uncultured bacterium. Its description in RNAcentral is "partial 16S ribosomal RNA". It matches the Rfam family "Bacterial small subunit ribosomal RNA", at positions 28 to 507 of the family's 1533-position model. The record is from RNAcentral.